GAGGCUGUAGCGCAGAGGUCGACGCACCCGGUCGUCGUCCGGGGGGACGCCGGUUCGAUUCCGGUCGGUCUCGCCC
RNAcentral lists this transfer RNA (76 nucleotides) under Actinoplanes friuliensis DSM 7358. RNAcentral describes it as "tRNA-Asp". It matches the Rfam family "tRNA". From Rfam's summary of the family: Transfer RNA (tRNA) molecules are approximately 80 nucleotides in length. Their secondary structure includes four short double-helical elements and three loops (D, anti-codon, and T loops). Further hydrogen bonds mediate the characteristic L-shaped molecular structure. tRNAs have two regions of fundamental functional importance: the anti-codon, which is responsible for specific mRNA codon recognition, and the 3' end, to which the tRNAs corresponding amino acid is attached (by aminoacyl-tRNA synthetases). tRNAs cope with the degeneracy of the genetic code in two manners: having more than one tRNA (with a specific anti-codon) for a particular amino acid; and 'wobble' base-pairing, i.e. permitting non-standard base-pairing at the 3rd anti-codon position. The record is from RNAcentral. Lineage: Bacteria; Bacillati; Actinomycetota; Actinomycetes; Micromonosporales; Micromonosporaceae.